RNAcentral lists this long non-coding RNA (728 nucleotides) under Ananas comosus (pineapple). Its description in RNAcentral is "long non-coding RNA (ACOM_LNC014294)". The record is from RNAcentral. Lineage: Eukaryota; Viridiplantae; Streptophyta; Magnoliopsida; Poales; Bromeliaceae.
GCUAUUAGAAAAUUUUGAAACUUCUAUAGUAACCAAAUAUUAAAAGUAAAAAUCUAAGGUUUAAAAGUACAAAAUUGAAAACUAUGCUUUUUUUUUUAAAAAAAAAGCAAUAUAAUAGUUCUUUCAUCAAUGACACUUGUUCAUACACUACACCAUUCAUAAAAUACCAUUACAAAUGCAUUUGACCCAACCCGACCAAUUGGGUUCUACUACGAACUCUAUUUUCAAGUACAUCAAUUACAACACCGAUAGUUUAUAACACAAGUGACAAAAAAUUUGAUGGUGGACUCCUGAUGUUUCAAGUUUGAAACCUUUUUUUUUAUUUUUUGAGCUAAAUUUAUUUUUUAGAAAACAAACUAAGCGAAUAACAUAUUAUUUUUUCUAAAAAAAUGAAAAUAAAAACAAGAGAAAACUUCAAAAACCCUCCCUGUGGUUUCGUAGUUUCUCACUUUUCCCUCCUGUGAUUUCGUUUUUAUCUUUUCGGUAGCUUCUUCGUUAAUAUUUUAUUAAAUUAUAUACAAAAAACUUCAGAUACUCAUCUAGAUUUAUCAAAUAUUCAUUUUAGUACCCUUUAAUUUUAACUUUAUCACUGAUUUAAAAAAAAAAAAAUAAAAUUGAUAAAAAAAAAAGAAAAAAAAAAUUACAGGGGAAUAAAUUGAUACGUUUUAAGUCACGGGGUAGGAAAAAGUGAGAAGCUACGAAACUACGGGGGGAGGUUUGAAGUUUUU